This 253-nucleotide ribosomal RNA is filed under the name uncultured bacterium. RNAcentral describes it as "partial 16S ribosomal RNA". It matches the Rfam family "Bacterial small subunit ribosomal RNA", at positions 524 to 776 of the family's 1533-position model. The record is from RNAcentral.
UACGGAGGAUCCAAGCGUUAUCCGGAAUCAUUGGGUUUAAAGGGUCCGUAGGCGGUUUUAUAAGUCAGUGGUGAAAUCCGGCAGCUUAACUGUCGAACUGCCAUUGAUACUGUAGAACUUGAAUUAUUAGGAAGUAACUAGAAUAUGUAGUGUAGCGGUGAAAUGCUUAGAGAUUACAUGGAAUACCAAUUGCGAAGGCAGGUUACUACUAAUGGAUUGACGCUGAUGGACGAAAGCGUGGGUAGCGAACAGG